GAGUGGGAAGAGCUCCGGGUAGAAGUGACAGACCUACCGAACCUGGUGAUAGCUGGUUACCUAAAAAAUGAAUAGAAGUUCAGCCUCGCACACCCUAAAUCAAUCAACAUAUUUUUAGAUAUAUGGAAAAAUACGAGAGUUAGUUGAAGGGGGUACAGCCCCUUUAACAAAGGAUACAACUUUNACAGGAGGAUAAAGAUCAUAGU
This 206-nucleotide ribosomal RNA is filed under the name Macrhybopsis storeriana (silver chub). Its description in RNAcentral is "partial 16S ribosomal RNA". It matches the Rfam family "Bacterial large subunit ribosomal RNA", at positions 797 to 1052 of the family's 2925-position model. The record is from RNAcentral. Lineage: Eukaryota; Metazoa; Chordata; Actinopteri; Cypriniformes; Leuciscidae.